UACGGGGGGGGCAAGCGUUGUUCGGAAUUACUGGGCGUAAAGGGCUCGUAGGCGGCCAACUAAGUCAGACGUGAAAUCCCUCGGCUUAACCGGGGAACUGCGUCUGAUACUGGAUGGCUUGAGUCCGGGAGAGGGACGCGGAAUUCCAGGUGUAGCGGUGAAAUGCGUAGAUAUCUGGAGGAACACCGGUGGCGAAGGCGGCGUCCUGGACCAAUACUGACACUGAGGAGCGAAAGCCAGGGGAGCAAACGGG
RNAcentral lists this ribosomal RNA (253 nucleotides) under uncultured bacterium. RNAcentral's name for it is "partial 16S ribosomal RNA". It matches the Rfam family "Bacterial small subunit ribosomal RNA", at positions 524 to 776 of the family's 1533-position model. The record is from RNAcentral.